GACAUGGAACCCUUCUGCUGAGGGGACAGAUUCUAAUUCCCUCCAAAUUGAGUGUGAGUGCGAUUUUGAGGUGAAAUCAAUCAGAAUUCCAAAGUCAGUCAGUGGAAGGGGGGAUGAAUCUUUAAACAGCCAGUUUCCUUGUGUCUAAAUCCAGCCAAAUAUCACUAAGAACUCGUGCAUUUCUUUGGCUUUUGUCUCAUUUUUCUGAUUUAUCAUGGUUUGUAAUGAAUUUUCUGAUGUGAGCUUUGGUUUUGAGGCUGGCAUAUUGAGUUCAGGGCACCGGAUCAAUGGUCUUUUUCAAACAGGACACAGCUGUUGGCUUGUUGCAAUUCUGGCUUGCUGUCAUUGUUUUGCGUGCCUCAGCUGUUUUUGGUUUCUUUAGCGGCAAUUUCCUACAUGUUUUCUGGGUCUGAGUUGGUUUUGCCUUCUUCCUUUCCAAAUUUUCUAUUCUGACGUAAUACAAACAAGAGUUUGGACAGAGUAGCCAUUAUGAAAUAAAAAGCACAACAAAUAUGCGUUUGAAGCUUAUAUAUGUAGAGGUAACACGAGCAAGGUAAGUUUUUGUGUUUAUGAAAAUAAAAUUGAACACUCUGGCUGAGGUGACAGAUAUUAAUUGCCUCCAAAACCGAGUUUCACUGCGAUUUUUUUGUUAAUUCAUUCAGAAACCAAAGACACUCAGUUGGGAGGUGUGGAUGAAUCUGGAAACAGCCGUUUACAUGGCCAUAAUUCAAGCCCAAUAUCCCUAAGAACUCCUGCAUUUCUUUGGCUUUUUUCUCAUUUUUCUUAUUUAUCAUGGUUUGUAAUGAAUUUUCUGAUGUGAGCUUUGCUUUUGAGGCUGGCAUAUUGAGUUCAGGGCACAAGAGGAAGGUUCUCUUUCAAUCAGGGCACAGCUGUUGGCUUUCUCCAAUUCUGGCUUGCUGUAAUUGUUGUGGGUUCCUCAGCUGACUUUUGGUUUCUUGAGUGGCAAUUUCCUAAAUGUUUUCUGGGUCUGACACGGUUUUUCCUUCUUAAUCCCAAAUUUUGUAUUCUGACGCAAUACAAACAAGAGUUUGGACAGACUAGCAAUGAUGAAAUAAAAAAGAAAACAAAUAGGCAUUUGAAGCUUAGAAAUCUACAGGUAAGAAUACUAAGGUGAGUUUUUGAGUUUUGGAAAAUAAAAUGGAACACUUUGGCUGAGGUGACAGAUAUUAAUUGCCUCCAAACCGAGUUUCACUGCGAUUUUCAGGUUAAUUCAGUCAGAAACCACAGACAUUCAGCUGGGAGGUGUGGAUGAAUCUGGAAACAGCCGUUUACAUGGCAAUAAAUCAAGCCCAAUAUUACUAAGAACUCCUGCAUUUCUUUGGC
Oryctolagus cuniculus (rabbit) is the source of this 1344-nucleotide non-coding RNA. NCBI's taxonomy places the organism in Eukaryota, Metazoa, Chordata, Mammalia, Lagomorpha, Leporidae. The record is from RefSeq and is a predicted model, not a curated record.